Molecule: ribosomal RNA, 737 nt
Filed under: Melampsora sp. Mel O
Lineage: Eukaryota; Fungi; Basidiomycota; Pucciniomycetes; Pucciniales; Melampsoraceae
Description: eukaryotic LSU rRNA
Rfam family: Eukaryotic large subunit ribosomal RNA
Source: RNAcentral
GAAAAGCAGCAUCAUUGAAGGUGAAAAUCCUGUAGAUGAUAUGGACUACCAGGGCAUUUGUGAUGCGAUUUCUAAGAGUCGAGUUGUUUGGGAAUGCAGCUCAAAGUGGGUGGUAAAUUCCAUCUAAGGCUAAAUAUAAGUGAGAGACCGAUAGCAUACAAGUACCGUGAGGGAAAGAUGAAAAGAACUUUGAAAAUAGAGUUAACAGUACGUGAAAUUGCUGAAAGGGAAACGUUUGAAGUUAGUUUUGUAUUCGUUAGAUCAGCUUCGCAAGGAGUGUAUUCUGAUGAUAAGCAAGUCAACAUCAAUCUUUGAGUGUUGGAUAAGGGUUUUGAGGAUGUAGCAAUUUAAUUGUGUUAUAACUUGAGACUUGGAUACRAUGCUUGGGAUUGAGGAACGCGUAGUAAGCUUUGAGCGGAUCAGAAAUGGUCUCCUUACUAUGGAUGUUGGUGAAAUAACUUUAAGCGACCCGUCUUGAAACACGGACCAAGGAGUCUAACAUGCAUGCGAGUAUUAGGGUGUUGAAACCCGAAUGCGUAAUGAAAGUGAAUUUCAAAUGUGAUCCGCAAGGUGCAACAUUGACCGGUCCUGAUUAUUUAUAUGACGGUACUGAGUAAGAGCAUGUAUGUUAGGACCCGAAAGAUGGUGAACUAUGCCUGGAUAGGGUGAAGUCAGAGGAAACUCUGAUGGAAGCUCGUAGCGGUUCUGACGUGCAAAUCGAUCGUUGAAUCUGGGUA